GAAACAAAUAUUGGGGAGCUCCAGAAAAUGAAGGUGAUGAAAGCUUGAGAGUACAGAGCUUUUCGAAGAUACUUGAACUCCACAUUCCGCAUGUCCUCUAGCAUUACUCUAUACCUAUCCUCCCAUGCUUGCAACUUGAGAAUCCUCAUGUUCCUGAGGCACUCAGAAGUCUUUCUCAUCCUAUCGUCCUUGGCACCCAUUAAUUUAUCUUGAUAGUCUUCUUGAAUCCUAGCUAAUGGAACGGUUGCAACAAUGGAUAUAAUGGUGGCAACUAAAGUAGCCACAGAUGCAAUACCAACAUUUUUAUACAAAAUAGCAAGAGCCAGAAUGAUUUGAAGAGGCAGCAUCCAUAUAUCAUGAAGAUACCAUGAGUAGUCUCCUACUCUCUGAACAUCCACU
RNAcentral lists this unclassified non-coding RNA (399 nucleotides) under Hevea brasiliensis (rubber tree). The record is from RNAcentral. Lineage: Eukaryota; Viridiplantae; Streptophyta; Magnoliopsida; Malpighiales; Euphorbiaceae.